RNAcentral lists this small nuclear RNA (108 nucleotides) under Aotus nancymaae (Ma's night monkey). Lineage: Eukaryota; Metazoa; Chordata; Mammalia; Primates; Aotidae. The record is from RNAcentral.
GUGCUCACUUCAGCAGCAUAUAUACUGUAAUUGGAAUAAUUUAUAGAAGAUUACCAUGGCCUCUGUGCAAAGAUGACACAUUAAUUCAUGGAUAUAUUCUAUAAAUUU